Molecule: ribosomal RNA, 261 nt
Filed under: uncultured Glomus
Lineage: Eukaryota; Fungi; Glomeromycota; Glomeromycetes; Glomerales; Glomeraceae
Description: partial 18S ribosomal RNA
Rfam family: Eukaryotic small subunit ribosomal RNA
Source: RNAcentral
AAGCUCGUAGUUGAAUUUCGGGGUUAGUAGGUUGGUCAUGCCUCUGGUAUGUACUGGUCUCACUGAUUUCUCCUUCCUUAUGAACCGUAAUGCCAUUAAUUUGGUGUUGCGGGGAAUUUGGACUGUUACUUUGAAAAAAUUAGAGUGUUUAAAGCAAGCUAACGCUUGAAUACAUUAGCAUGGAAUAAUGAAAUAGGACGUUCGAUCUUAUUUUGUUUGGUUUUCUUAGGAUUGACGUAAUGAUUAAUAGGGAUAGUUGGG